UAUCUCUCCGUACGGGGAAGGAUGAGAAGCUUCGACUAAGGUUCGAUGCGAGCGCAGCGAGAAAGCGUUGCCGCAGGCAACGACCCGAAGGGCGAAGCGCGCAGCGCUGAGUAAUCCUUCCCCCACCACCA
This 131-nucleotide small RNA is filed under the name Salmonella enterica subsp. enterica. RNAcentral's name for it is "RtT sRNA". It matches the Rfam family "RtT RNA". Rfam says of the family: This family represents a bacterial cis-regulatory element known as RtT RNA. The exact function of RtT is unknown although it is thought that it may be involved in changing the cellular response in relation to amino acid starvation. Lineage: Bacteria; Pseudomonadati; Pseudomonadota; Gammaproteobacteria; Enterobacterales; Enterobacteriaceae. The record is from RNAcentral.